Molecule: long non-coding RNA, 3233 nt
Organism: Catharus ustulatus (Swainson's thrush)
Lineage: Eukaryota; Metazoa; Chordata; Aves; Passeriformes; Turdidae
Exons: 3
Source: RefSeq, a predicted model, not a curated record
ACCAGUCGUGGUUAUAGUCCGGCUGUGGGGCAGGUGUUGUGGUACUGGCUGGGACCUAAGGAAGAGGAGCUCUGAGCUCCCCCGGGCCGUGCUGCAAGAGCAGAAGGGCAGAGCUCCAGCCCCACAGAGCUGGGGAGCUCCUCUGUACAGAGCACAUAUUGCUGAUUUAAUUUUGGGGUGUAAAAGCCCGGCUGUUCAUGCGCUCUCAGCCUCAGGGCAUUAGGAAGGGAUAGGUAGAACUGCACUCCAGGGCUCUAUUUCCUGCUCUCAGGAACUCGCCUCCCGGUUCAGCUCCCUCCAAGAUCAGCCUCUGGAAAUUCCAGCACAUGAAAUACCUUCUCCAGGUGCCCUGUGGAGGGCUGGAUUUGCUCCCAGAGCUGUUCAGGUCUCCUCAAAGAUCCCAGUGCAGGCACUUGGAUGAAGGUUUUCAUUUCCUUGGACUGUAAAUGUUGUUUUGAGCCUCAGACAGUUUCCUGCUGCAGAACUUGGAGGAGAAACAUGUCAAACAUUCUCCACUUGGACAGCAGCCCUGAGGUGUGAGUGUGAGAGGCUCCUGCAUGAGCCCUGUGCCCAGAGCAGGGCAGGCAGCAGCACGUGGGAAUGCAGAGCCCCAGCUCUCAGGAAGCUUCCUUUCCUCCUGAGGUGAUACUGCAGGUAAAACUUACAGUCCUUGAAGUUUUCUGUCACUUGGGUUGAGCUGAUGGCUAAGUCCCACGUGUGUGAGUUCUGUGAAGGAAUGCUUUGCCGUGGAGGUGGUGGCUGCCUUGGAUCAGAUUGCAUCCCCUUGCUUACUUCACCCUGCCUGGUAAUGGGAUCAAGGGGGGACUGCAAACUUUGAGGAACUAUUUGGAGUCCCUUGUUGUUAGGACCCUUGUUCAGAGGGGUCUGAACGCAGCCUCCCCUCUCCAGAUCCACCACAGCCUCUCAGCUAUGGAAAGGGCUGUUGGUUCUCCCUCAGUUCCCUGCCUUUCAGAGCCUGUGUCCCCCCAGUAGUGCUCCUUUUGAUGCCACAGCAGUCACAAAAUAGGUCAAGCACCAUCUAAACCCUGACUUGAUAUCCCUUGAACUAAAUUCCUGCCCUGCCUGAGUGUGCCCCAAAGGGGGUUAGGACUCAUGGCUUAAAGGGAGCUAAGAGAGAUGAGCAGCUUUGCUGUAGCUGAGUAAACAGCUCUAGGCAGCCCGGCUCCCUGCUGUGCCAUCCCGGCUCCCUGCCCUGCCACCCCGGCUCCCUGCCGUGCCAUCCCAUCCCCGUUCCCUCCUGUGCCAUCCCGGCUCCCUGCCCUGCCAUCCCAUCCCCGCUCCCUCCCGUGCCAUCCCGGCUUCCUCCCGUACCAUCCCGGCCUCAUCUUACCCAGGGAAGUGUCCAACAUGUGUGCUUUCAGAGAAUCAUUAAGGCUGGAAAAGACCUCCAAGAUCAAGUCCAACCUUUGACAAAAUAGCACCGUGCCCGCUAAGCCGUAUCUGGAAGUGCCACACCCACUGAGUUUUUUGGCCGCUCCCAGGGAUGGUGACUCCAGCAGUGCCCUGCUGCUCUCACCAGGUGACUUCGGUGACACUAGUGCUAGAAGGGAUAGGAGGGUGGGAACCUCGGGUUAUCCUGGCUCACCUGAGCUUUGGUCGGUGUGUUACAUGUUUCACCUCUGUCACUUCUGUGGUAACCCCACAGUGCUGUCCUACAUGUGUGGUAGGCCAGCACUCUCUGACAAGGGCAACAACAAAACACCUGGACAAGUGAGUCACUCCCUCACAUCCCAAGCCCGGAGCUUUGGGAAACCUCAGUGAAAGUUUGUCUUAGAGAUGUUUGUCUGUGGCUGCCAGCCUGUCCUUGAUGCUGUCAGUGGAAGGGCCCAGAUUUAUUUGUGUUUCAAGAUCCUUUUGAGUCUCUGCAGAUGAAAAUCUGUUCUCGUGGUGAUGCAGUGGUGACUCAGCACUAGGGAAGGAGGGAAGAUGACCUUAGGAAAAUCUUUUUACCCCCAUGCUCUGGAGAUGUCCAGGAAAGGAAAGAAGAUUCCAUGGGAAAAAAAUAUUAGCCCUUGGCAGAAAGAGGCUUUAGAAGAAGCCCAGAGCUUAAUGCCAGGGGAGGGCUGCAAAGUCUGGGGUCUGGGCACACACCAGCCUCAGGCCUUGGUCCCAGUUCUUUCUGCAGGAGACAGCUGGAGCUGCAGGAGUUUCCUUCCUGCGCUUUCAGGGUCAGGGGUUGCAAGAGGAGAAGGACAACCCAGGAUUCUGGCAGGUAUGGAAGUGACAAUUCCAGCAGUAGAACAGAGUCAGCCCUGCAGCUGCAGCAGCAGCUACAGUAGAAGCAACCCAUCCUCUGCUACAGGUGAGCCCUCAAAGCCCUCUGUGACUUGUUAAAGCUUGGAGGACAAGGGCAGAAAGGGCUGUCAUGGGCAUCCUCACUAAAAGCUCAGCGUUGAUGGAGCAAACAAGCCCUGAAUGUGCCACCAGCUCCCCAGGGAAAAAAGCCCUGUCUCUGGUUGUGUGAUCAAACCAGAACCUUGUUCCAGCAGUACCUGCUCACCCUCCUGUUGGCCCUCCCAGGCUUCUCUCUGCUAUGGUCUCACUUCCCAGGACCUGCUCACAUCACCUUGGCAUGUUCCCUGGGUGAUACCUUUGGCUGCCCACCCAGCCAGGGCAGCUCAGUGGUUGUUGGGGCAGCCACUGUCCCCCUGGUCUGUCCCUCAGCUCUGGGUUUGAUGUCCCUAUUGCUACUGCUGCAGUCUGACAGCUACAGCCCCUCAGGCAGCAAAUGUGCCACCCCAGAGCUGUGGGGCUUUCCACAGGACACCAAGCUCUCCUCGUGGUGUAUGCCACACCUUCCUUGCUCUUCUGCUGUCUGAACCUUGAGGGAGCUGUUUGAGAUCACCAAGUUCUCCCUCCCCCCAUGGCCCUGAGCUUUCUGCUGUUCCUGACUGAGAAUGGCAGGAGUAGGAUUAGACUGGGAUGUUCUGACCCUUCUGCCAGCAGCUCAGCCAAUGGAUGAAGGCAUGUUCUUAUCAGCACAUGCUUGUUUUUGUGAACAUUCAUCAUAUAAAACUCCUACUACAUGAGGAACUCCGACAGAACUUUUUUUUCUAUAAUCUUAUGUAGUCAAAUACUCUUUUGUCCAAAUACUUUUCCUUCCCCUGGAGUUUUGGUCUCUGGACUCAACACAGCCUCUUUGGAUGUUUCUUCCCACUGCCAGAGAGCAGGGAUGGACGGGAUAUUGGGAAGGAAUUGUUCUCUGUGAGAGU